This 521-nucleotide ribosomal RNA is filed under the name Aulacoseira subarctica. RNAcentral's name for it is "SSU rRNA". It matches the Rfam family "Eukaryotic small subunit ribosomal RNA", at positions 1 to 528 of the family's 1831-position model. The record is from RNAcentral. Lineage: Eukaryota; Bacillariophyta; Melosirophyceae; Melosirales; Aulacoseiraceae.
ACCUGGUUGAUCCUGCCAGUAGUGAUACGCUGUCAUUAAGGACUAAGCCAUGCAUGUGUAAGUAUAAGAACUACUCUAGACUGCGAAUGGCUCAUUAUAUCAGUUAUAGUUUAUUUGAUAGUCCCUUACUACUUGGAUAACCGUAGUAAUUCUAGAGCUAAUACAUGCGUCAAGAUCCGACUUCGGGAGGAUCGUAUUUAUUAGGUUACAAAACCAACCCUCUUUCGGGAGGUUCUUUGGGUGAGUCAUGAUAAGCAUGCGGAUCGCAGGGCUUUACGCCGGCGACGGAUCAUGUAAGUUCCUGCCCUAUCAGCUUCGGAUGGUAGGGUAUUGGGCCUACCAUGGCGUUAACGGGUAACGGGAGAUCAGGGUUUGACUCCGGAGAGGGAGCCUGAGAAACGGCUACCACAUCUAAGGAAGGCAGCAGGCGCGUAAAUUACCCAAUUCUAAUUCAGAGAGGUAGUGACAAGAAAUAACGGGUCGGGGCUAAUGCCCCGGGACUGGCAAUGAGAUGAAUUUAC